RNAcentral lists this ribosomal RNA (465 nucleotides) under Vreelandella stevensii. RNAcentral's name for it is "partial 16S ribosomal RNA". It matches the Rfam family "Bacterial small subunit ribosomal RNA", at positions 338 to 795 of the family's 1533-position model. Lineage: Bacteria; Pseudomonadati; Pseudomonadota; Gammaproteobacteria; Oceanospirillales; Halomonadaceae. The record is from RNAcentral.
CCUACGGGAGGCUGCAGUGGGGAAUAUUGGACAAUGGGGGGAACCCUGAUCCAGCCAUGCCGCGUGUGUGAAGAAGGCCCUCGGGUUGUAAAGCACUUUCAGUGAGGAAGAACGCCUGGUGGUUAAUACCCAUCAGGAAAGACAUCACUCACAGAAGAAGCACCGGCUAACUCCGUGCCAGUAGCCGCGGUAAUACGGAGGGUGCGAGCGUUAAUCGGAAUUACUGGGCGUAAAGCGCGCGUAGGUGGCUUGAUAAGCCGGUUGUGAAAGCCCCGGGCUCAACCUGGGAACGGCAUCCGGAACUGUCAAGCUAGAGUGCAGGAGAGGAAGGUAGAAUUCCCGGUGUAGCGGUGAAAUGCGUAGAGAUCGGGAGGAAUACCAGUGGCGAAGGCGGCCUUCUGGACUGACACUGACACUGAGGUGCGAAAGCGUGGGUAGCAAACAGGAUUAGAUACCCCAGUAGUC